This 737-nucleotide ribosomal RNA is filed under the name Monographella cf. nivalis 723/LC2. Its description in RNAcentral is "SSU rRNA". It matches the Rfam family "Eukaryotic small subunit ribosomal RNA", at positions 244 to 986 of the family's 1831-position model. The record is from RNAcentral. Lineage: Eukaryota; Fungi; Ascomycota; Sordariomycetes; Amphisphaeriales; Hyponectriaceae.
UGGUGAUUCAUAAUAACUUCUCGAAUCGCAUGGCCUUGUGCCGGCGAUGGUUCAUUCAAAUUUCUGCCCUAUCAACUUUCGAUGGCAGGGUCUUGGCCUGCCAUGGUUACAACGGGUAACGGAGGGUUAGGGCUCGACCCCGGAGAAGGAGCCUGAGAAACGGCUACUACAUCCAAGGAAGGCAGCAGGCGCGCAAAUUACCCAAUCCCGAUUCGGGGAGGUAGUGACAAUAAAUACUGAUACAGGGCUCUUUUGGGUCUUGUAAUUGGAAUGAGUACAAUUUAAAUCCCUUAACGAGGAACAAUUGGAGGGCAAGUCUGGUGCCAGCAGCCGCGGUAAUUCCAGCUCCAAUAGCGUAUAUUAAAGUUGUUGCAGUUAAAAAGCUCGUAGUUGAACCUUGGGCCUGGCUGGCCGGUCCGCCUCACCGCGUGCACUGGUUCGGCCGGGCCUUUCCCUCUGGGGAACCUCAUGCCCUUCACUGGGUGUGAUGGGGAACCAGGACUUUUACUGUGAAAAAAUUAGAGUGUUCAAAGCAGGCCUAUGCUCGAAUACAUUAGCAUGGAAUAAUAGAAUAGGACGUGUGGUUCUAUUUUGUUGGUUUCUAGGACCGCCGUAAUGAUUAAUAGGGACAGUCGGGGGCAUUAGUAUUCAAUUGUCAGAGGUGAAAUUCUUGGAUUUAUUGAAGACUAACUACUGCGAAAGCAUUUGCCAAGGAUGUUUUCAUUAAUCANGAACCA